GGCUCUGUGGCGCAAUGGAUAGCGCGUUGGACUUCUGAUUCAAAGGUUGUGGGUUCGAGUCCCACCAGAGUCGA
Molecule: transfer RNA, 74 nt
Filed under: Merluccius polli (Benguela hake)
Lineage: Eukaryota; Metazoa; Chordata; Actinopteri; Gadiformes; Merlucciidae
Description: tRNA-Arg
Rfam family: tRNA
About the family: Transfer RNA (tRNA) molecules are approximately 80 nucleotides in length.
Source: RNAcentral